GCUCUAGUGGCCUGGUGGUUAGAGCGUCCGCCUCGGAUGCGGGAGAUCGUGGGUUCGGUCCCAGGUCAAGUCAUACCAAAGACU
Non-coding RNA from Potamilus streckersoni, 84 nucleotides. The record is from the annotation of a GenBank genome assembly. NCBI's taxonomy places the organism in Eukaryota, Metazoa, Mollusca, Bivalvia, Unionida, Unionidae.